UACAGGGGGGGCAAGCGUUGUUCGGAAUUACUGGGCGUAAAGGGCUCGUAGGCGGCCAACUAAGUCGGAUGUGAAAUCCCCAGGCUCAACCUGGGAACUGCAUCCGAUACUGGAUGGCUUGAAUUCGGGAGAGGGAUGCAGAAUUCCAGGUGUAGCGGUGAAAUGCGUAGAUAUCUGGAGGAAUACCGGUGGCGAAGGCGGCAUCCUGGACCGACAUUGACGCUGAGGAGCGAAAGCCAGGGGAGCAAACGGG
This 253-nucleotide ribosomal RNA is filed under the name uncultured bacterium. RNAcentral describes it as "partial 16S ribosomal RNA". It matches the Rfam family "Bacterial small subunit ribosomal RNA", at positions 524 to 776 of the family's 1533-position model. The record is from RNAcentral.